AACGAACGCUGGCGGCAGGCCUAACACAUGCAAGUCGAGCGGGACCUUCGGGUCUAGCGGCGGACGGGUUAGUAACGCGUGGGAACGUGCCCAAAGGUACGGAAUAGCCUCGGGAAACUGAGAGUAAUACCGUAUGUGCCCCUCGGGGGAAAGAUUUAUCGCCUUUGGAUCGGCCCGCGUUGGAUUAGGUAGUUGGUGGGGUAAUGGCCUACCAAGCCGACGAUCCAUAGCUGGUUUGAGAGGAUGAUCAGCAACACUGGGACUGGGACACGGCCCAGACUCCUACGGGAGGCAGCAGUGGGGAAUCUUAGACAAUGGGGGAAACCCUGAUCUAGCCAUGCCGCGUGAGCGAUGAAGGCCUUAGGGUUGUAAAGCUCUUUCAGAUGGGAAGAUAAUGACGGUACCAUCAGAAGAAGCCCCGGCUAACUCCGUG
Molecule: ribosomal RNA, 433 nt
Filed under: uncultured bacterium
Lineage: Bacteria
Description: bacterial SSU rRNA
Rfam family: Bacterial small subunit ribosomal RNA
Source: RNAcentral